AGGGCACCACCAGGAGUGGAGCCUGCGGCUUAAUUUGACUCAACACGGGAAAUCUCACCAGGCCCGGACACCGGAAGGAUUGACAGAUUGAGAGCUCUUUCUUGAUUCGGUGGGUGGUGGUGCAUGGCCGUUCUUAGUUGGUGAAGCGAUUUGUCUGGUUAAUUCCGAUAACGAACGAGACUCUGGCCUACUAACUAGACGUUGGAUCCCUUUGUGGGUCCAUCGCAGCUUCUUAGAGGGACGGGCGGCGUUUAGCCGCACGAGAUUGAGCAAUAACAGGUCUGUGAUGCCCUUAGAUGUUCUGGGCUGCACGCGCGCUACACUGAAGGAAUCAGCGUGUGUUCCCUAUCCGAAAGGAUUGGGAAACCCGUUGAACCUCCUUCGUGAUGGGGAUUGGGGAUUGCAAUUAUUCCCCAUGAACGAGGAAUUCCCAGUAGGCGCGAGUCAUAAGCUUGCGUCGAUUACGUCCCUGCCCUUUGUACACACCGCCCGUCGCUACUACCGAUCGAGUGAUUUAGU
RNAcentral lists this ribosomal RNA (519 nucleotides) under uncultured eukaryote. RNAcentral's name for it is "SSU rRNA". It matches the Rfam family "Eukaryotic small subunit ribosomal RNA", at positions 1161 to 1702 of the family's 1831-position model. The record is from RNAcentral.